GACGAACGCUGGCGGCGUGCUUAACACAUGCAAGUCGAACGGUAAGGCCCUUCGGGGUACACGAGUGGCGAACGGGUGAGUAACACGUGGGUGAUCUGCCCUGCACUUCGGGAUAAGCCUGGGAAACUGGGUCUAAUACCGGAUAGGACCACUGCCUGCAUGGGUGGUGGUGGAAAGCUUUUGCGGUGUGGGAUGGGCGCGCGGCCUAUCAGCUUGUUGGUGGGGUGAUGGCCUACCAAGGCGACGACGGGUAGCCGGCCUGAGAGGGUGACCGGACACACCGGGACUGAGAUACGGUCCAGACUCCUACGGGAGGCAGCAGUGGGGAAUAUUGCACAAUGGGCGCAAGCCUGAUGCAGCGACGCCGCGUGAGGGAUGACGGCCUUCGGGUUGUAAACCUCUUUCAGCACCGACGAAGCGCAAGUGACGGUAGGUGCAGAAGAAGGACCGGCCAACUACGUGCCAGCCGCCGCGGUAA
Molecule: ribosomal RNA, 478 nt
Filed under: uncultured bacterium
Lineage: Bacteria
Description: partial 16S ribosomal RNA
Rfam family: Bacterial small subunit ribosomal RNA
Source: RNAcentral